RNAcentral lists this ribosomal RNA (253 nucleotides) under uncultured bacterium. Its description in RNAcentral is "partial 16S ribosomal RNA". It matches the Rfam family "Bacterial small subunit ribosomal RNA", at positions 524 to 776 of the family's 1533-position model. The record is from RNAcentral.
UACAGAGGUCCAAAGCGUUGUUCGGAUUCAUUGGGCGUAAAGGGUGCGUAGGUGGCGUAGUAAGUCGGGUGUGAAAUCUCGGGGCUUAACUCCGAAACUGCAUUCGAUACUGCGGUGCUUGAGGACUGGAGAGGAGACUGGAAUUUACGGUGUAGCAGUGAAAUGCGUAGAGAUCGUAAGGAAGACCAGUGGCGAAGGCGGGUCUCUGGACAGUUCCUGACACUGAGGCACGAAGGCCAGGGGAGCAAACGGG